GAAAUAUAUAAUUAAAUUGAAAUUAAGCUGCUAACUUAAUUUUUAGUGGUUAAAUUCCAUUAAUAUUUCU
RNAcentral lists this transfer RNA (70 nucleotides) under Calliteara horishanella. RNAcentral describes it as "tRNA-Ser". The record is from RNAcentral. Lineage: Eukaryota; Metazoa; Arthropoda; Insecta; Lepidoptera; Erebidae.